This 77-nucleotide transfer RNA is filed under the name Veillonella magna. RNAcentral's name for it is "tRNA-Arg". It matches the Rfam family "tRNA". Rfam says of the family: Transfer RNA (tRNA) molecules are approximately 80 nucleotides in length. Their secondary structure includes four short double-helical elements and three loops (D, anti-codon, and T loops). RNAcentral also lists the same sequence under 5 other names. Lineage: Bacteria; Bacillati; Bacillota; Negativicutes; Veillonellales; Veillonellaceae. The record is from RNAcentral.
GGUCCAGUAGCUCAGUUGGAUAGAGCAACGGCCUUCUAAGCCGUGGGUCGGGGGUUCGAAUCCCUCCUGGAUCACCA